This 1374-nucleotide ribosomal RNA is filed under the name uncultured bacterium. Its description in RNAcentral is "bacterial SSU rRNA". It matches the Rfam family "Bacterial small subunit ribosomal RNA". The record is from RNAcentral.
AGAGUUUGAUCAUGGCUCAGAAUGAACGCUGGUGGAGUGCCUUAUACAUGCAAGUCGAGUGAGGCUUCGAGCCGAGCGGCGGACGGGUGAGUAACGCGUGAAUAACCUGCCCUGCAGUGGGGAACAACCUUCCUAACGGAGGGCUAAUGCCGCAUAUUGAACGGAGCUUCCUGGCUCCGUCUCGAAAGAUUUAUCGCUGCAGGAUGGAUUCGCGUAGGAUUAGCUAGUUGGCGGGGUAACGGCCCACCAAGGCGACGAUCCUUAGCCGGCCUGAGAGGGUGACUGGCCACAAUGGGACUGAGAUACGGCUCAUACUCCUACGGGAGGCAGCAGUAGGGAAUAUUGCGCAAUGGGCGAAAGCCUGACGCAGCAACUCCACGUGUGGGACGACGCAUUUCGGUGUGUAAACCACUGUCGGCAGGGAACAAAAGGCCCGCAAGGGAGUUUGAGUGUACCUGCAGAGGAAGCACCGGCAAACUUCGUGCCAGCAGCCGCGGUAAUACGAGGGGUGCGAGCGUUGUUCGGAAUCACUGGGCGUAAAGGGCGCGUAGGCGGACCGUUAAGUCGGGGGUUUAAUUCCGGGGCCCAACCCCGGAGCCGCCCCCGAUACUGACGGCCUUGGGUAGGUCAGGGGCAGUGGGGAACACCUGGUGUAGCGGUGGAAUGCGUAGAUAUCAGGUGGAACACCAGUGGCGAAGGCGCACUGCUGGGGCCAUACCGACGCUGAGGCGCGAAAGCAUGGGUAGCGAACAGGAUUAGAUACCCUGGUAGUCCAUGCCGUAAACGAUGUCGACUAGGCGCCUGCCCGCGAGGGUGGGUGCCGCAGCUAACGCAUUAAGUCGACCGCCUGGGGAGUACGCCCGCAAGGGUGAAACUCAAAGGAAUUGACGGGGGCCCGCACAAGCGGUGGAGUAUGUGGUUUAAUUCGAAGCAACGCGAAGAACCUUACCAGGUCUUGACAUGGGGGCGACGCGCCGGGAGACCGGCGUUCCGUAGCAAUACGGCGCCCCGCACAGGUGCUGCAUGGCUGUCGUCAGCUCGUGCCGUGAGGUGUUGGGUUAAGUCCCGCAACGAGCGCAACCCCCGUUCACAGUUGCCACCAUUCAGUUGGGCACUCUGUGGAGACUGCCGCGGACAACGCGGAGGAAGGUGGGGACGACGUCAGGUCAUCAUGGCCCUUACGACCUGGGCUACACACGUACUACAAUGGCCGGGACAGUGGGCAGCCACCUCGCGAGAGGGAGCGAAUCUCCAAACCCGGCCUCAGUUCGGAUAGCAGUCUGCAACCCGACUGCUUGAAGCUGGAAUCGCUAGUAAUCGCGGAUCAGCAUGCCGCGGUGAAUACGUUCCCGGGCCUUGUACACACCGCCCGUC